Molecule: transfer RNA, 75 nt
Filed under: Thermodesulfovibrio sp. RBG_19FT_COMBO_42_12
Lineage: Bacteria; Pseudomonadati; Nitrospirota; Thermodesulfovibrionia; Thermodesulfovibrionales; Thermodesulfovibrionaceae
Description: tRNA-Val
Rfam family: tRNA
About the family: Transfer RNA (tRNA) molecules are approximately 80 nucleotides in length.
Source: RNAcentral
GGGCGAUUAGCUCAGCGGUAGAGCGCUUCCUUCACACGGAAGAGGUCGCUGGUUCGAGACCAGCAUCGCCUACCA